Molecule: ribosomal RNA, 671 nt
Filed under: Apiotrichum coprophilum
Lineage: Eukaryota; Fungi; Basidiomycota; Tremellomycetes; Trichosporonales; Trichosporonaceae
Description: eukaryotic LSU rRNA
Rfam family: Eukaryotic large subunit ribosomal RNA
Source: RNAcentral
UGGCCUCAAAUCAGGUAGGACUACCCGCUGAACUUAAGCAUAUCAAUAAGCGGAGGAAAAGAAACUAACAAGGAUUCCCUUAGUAACGGCGAGUGAACCGGGAAGAGCUCAAAUUUGAAAUCUGGCAGUCUUCGAUUGUCCGAGUUGUAAUCUAUAGAAGCGUUUUCCGUGCUGAACUGUGUAUAAGUCCCUUGGAACAGGGUAUCAAAGAGGGUGACAAUCCCGUACUUUACACAAUCAUCAGUGCUCUGUGAUACGUUCUCUACGAGUCGAGUUGUUUGGGAAUGCAGCUCAAAAUGGGUGGUAAAUUCCAUCUAAAGCUAAAUAUUGGCGAGAGACCGAUAGCGAACAAGUACCGUGAGGGAAAGAUGAAAAGCACUUUGGAAAGAGAGUUAAACAGUACGUGAAAUUGUUGAAAGGGAAACGAUUGAAGUCAGUCGUGUUCAUUGGACUCAGCCGGUUUUCGGUGUAUUUCCUUUGAACGGGUCAACAUCAGUUUUGUCCGGUGGAUAAAGGUAGUAGGAAGGUGGCUCCCCCGGGAGUGUUAUAGCCUAUUGCCACAUGCACUGGAGGAGACUGAGGACUGCAGCUUGCCUUUAUGGCCGGGGUUCGCCCACGUUCAAGCUUAGGAUGUUGACAUAAUGGCUUUAAACGACCCGUCUUGAAACACG